CCUACGGGGGGCAGCAGUGGGGAAUAUUGCACAAUGGGCGCAAGCCUGAUGCAGCCAUGCCGCGUGUAUGAAGAAGGCCUUCGGGUUGUAAAGUACUUUCAGCGGGGAGGAAGGUGUUGUGGUUAAUAACCACAGCAAUUGACGUUACCCGCAGAAGAAGCACCGGCUAACUCCGUGCCAGCAGCCGCGGUAAUACGGAGGGUGCAAGCGUUAAUCGGAAUUACUGGGCGUAAAGCGCACGCAGGCGGUCUGUCAAGUCGGAUGUGAAAUCCCCGGGCUCAACCUGGGAACUGCAUUCGAAACUGGCAGGCUAGAGUCUUGUAGAGGGGGUAGAAUUCCAGGUGUAGCGGUGAAAUGCGUAGAGAUCUGGAGGAAUACCGGUGGCGAAGGCGGCCCCCUGGACAAGGACUGACGCUCAGGUGCGAAAGCGUGGGGAGCAAACAGGAUUAGAU
Molecule: ribosomal RNA, 452 nt
Filed under: uncultured bacterium
Lineage: Bacteria
Description: bacterial SSU rRNA
Rfam family: Bacterial small subunit ribosomal RNA
Source: RNAcentral